Long non-coding RNA from Saccostrea cuccullata (small rock oyster), 656 nucleotides. RefSeq lists it as uncharacterized. The transcript has 3 exons. The record is from RefSeq and is a predicted model, not a curated record. NCBI's taxonomy places the organism in Eukaryota, Metazoa, Mollusca, Bivalvia, Ostreida, Ostreidae.
CGGUAGUUUGCUUGCAUUGUUUUCAAUACACUUAUACAGAAGACUACCAGAAAAUUACAAACUUGGAGCAGUCUGAGCCUCAGUUUUGGCGUUUUCAUGAGUCUUAAUUACGAAUGAAAUUAGGCACUUUGAAGCCAAACUCGGAAAGAAGCAGAAACAGAAUUGGAUGAGCUGAUAUAGAAUGAGACAGGAAAAACAUGUUAUCAUUAUGAGAAUACGAUAUUACAAUACAGACCAUUGAUGCUGGAAGUGAGUGGAUAGUGUUACCGGAGACUCAGGGAUCCAGAAAAUAGAUCCAUAAAUUGUACAGUGUAUUCAUGAAAGAGGAUCAAAUAAAAAUGUUGAAUCCAAAAGUAACAUUCUUUGUUUGUCUGUUAGCAUUUGUAUAUUGAUGUAAAUCUAAUAACUAUCAAUUUUAAGCAUGCAGAUUCAUAAAUAGAUAGUAGAAGAAUCUGAAACAUAUCUUUAUAUUCUGCAUUUUGAAGUAACAUAAUUAAUACAAGGUCAAUAUUAAAUGAUUAAUUAAUUUCAAAACUGACAAAAUGUUUUUGUGAGAAAAAAGAAAGAGCUCUAAUUGUUAUAUUGUACCUCAUGUACCACUGAUGUUGGCGUGAGUGAAAUAAAAAUGAUGAUGAUGAUGAUGAACUAGUUAAAAG